Alosa sapidissima (American shad) is the source of this 223-nucleotide long non-coding RNA. RefSeq lists it as uncharacterized. The record is from RefSeq and is a predicted model, not a curated record. The transcript has 4 exons. Lineage: Eukaryota; Metazoa; Chordata; Actinopteri; Clupeiformes; Clupeidae.
AAAACCACUACACCUUGCCUCUUGAAGAUAACCCUGGGUGUAGGUGUGUUGCCGGGUGGCCGUACCAGUGUUGAGGGUGUAGGUGUGUAGCCGGGUGGCCGUACCUGUGUUGAGGGUGUAGGUGUGUAGCCGGGUGGCCGUACCUGUGUUGAGGGUGUAGGUGUGUAGCCGGGUGGCCGUAUCUGUGUUGAGGGUGUAGAUGAGUAGCCGGGUGGCCGUACCU